RNAcentral lists this ribosomal RNA (405 nucleotides) under uncultured bacterium. RNAcentral's name for it is "bacterial SSU rRNA". It matches the Rfam family "Bacterial small subunit ribosomal RNA", at positions 370 to 772 of the family's 1533-position model. The record is from RNAcentral.
AAUGGGCGAAAGCCUGACCCAGCCAUGCCGCGUGAAGGAUGAAUGCCCUAUGGGUUGUAAACUUCUUUUGUACGGGACAAAACUCUCGAACGUGUUCGGGAUUGAUGGUACUGUAUGAAUAAGCAUCGGCUAACUCCGUGCCAGCAGCCGCGGUAAUACGGAGGAUGCGAGCGUUAUCCGGAUUCAUUGGGUUUAAAGGGUGCGUAGGCGGAAUAAUAAGUCAGCGGUGAAAGCCUGCGGCUUAACCGUAGAAUUGCCAUUGAUACUGUUAUUCUUGAGUAUAGUUGAAGUAGGCGGAAUGUGUAAUGUAGCGGUGAAAUGCUUAGAUAUUACACAGAACACCAAUUGCGAAGGCAGCUUACUAAGCUGUUACUGACGCUGAGGCACGAAAGCGUGGGGAGCAAA